RNAcentral lists this ribosomal RNA (460 nucleotides) under uncultured bacterium. Its description in RNAcentral is "partial 16S ribosomal RNA". It matches the Rfam family "Bacterial small subunit ribosomal RNA", at positions 338 to 795 of the family's 1533-position model. The record is from RNAcentral.
CCUACGGGGGGCAGCAGUGAGGAAUAUUGGUCAAUGGGCGGAAGCCUGAACCAGCCAAGUCGCGUGAGGGAAUAAGGCCCUACGGGUCGUAAACCUCUUUUGCCGGGGAGCAAGGGCCGGGACGCGUCCCGGCCCGGAGAGUACCCGGAGAAAAAGCAUCGGCUAACUCCGUGCCAGCAGCCGCGGUAAUACGUAGGGAGCGAUCGUUAUCCGGAAUUAUUGGGCGAAAAGGGUGCGUAGAUGGCAUAUUAAGUCUGUUGUAAAAAUGCUGGGCUCAACCCAGUAGGGCAAAAGAUACUGCAAAGCUAGAGUAUGACAGAGGCAUGUGGAACUACAUGUGUAGCGGUAAAAUGCGUAAAUAUAUGUAAGAACACCAGUGGCGAAGGCGGCUUGCUGGGUCGAUACUGACAUUGAGGCACGAAAGCGUGGGGAGCAAACAGGAUUAGAUACCCGUGUAGUC